RNAcentral lists this ribosomal RNA (264 nucleotides) under uncultured bacterium. RNAcentral's name for it is "partial 16S ribosomal RNA". It matches the Rfam family "Bacterial small subunit ribosomal RNA", at positions 793 to 1055 of the family's 1533-position model. The record is from RNAcentral.
GUCCACACUGUAAACGAUGAAUACUAGGUGUGCGGGGACUGACCCCUGCGUGCCGCAGUUAACACAAUAAGUAUUCCACCUGGGGAGUACGAUCGCAAGGUUGAAACUCAAAGGAAUUGACGGGGCCCGCACAAGCGGUGGAUUAUGUGGUUUAAUUCGAAGCAACGCGAAGAACCUUACCAGGGUUUGACAUCCUGCUAACGAAGUAGAGAUACAUUAGGUGCCCUUCGGGGAAAGCAGAGACAGGUGGUGCAUGGUUGUCGU